GAUGAAGAACGUAGCGAAAUGCGAUACUUGGUGUGAAUUGCAGAAUCCCGUGAACCAUCGAGUCUUUGAACGCAAGUUGCGCCUCAAGCCAUUAGGUUGAGGGCACGUCUGCCUGGGCGUCACAUAUCGUUGCCUGAUGCCAGUUUCCUCGUGAUGGGUGACUGUGCAGGGCGAAUGAUGGCUUCCCGUGAGCAUUGUUGCCUCAUGGUUGGUUGAAAAUUGAGUCCUUGGUAGGGAGCGCCGUGAUAGAUGGUGGUUGAGUGACGAACGAGACCCAAUCAUGUGAGACCCCUACCGAAUUUGGCCUUCAUGACCCACAUGCGUCUUUGGAACGCUCAUGACUAGACCUCAGGUCAGGCGGGGCUACCCGCUGAGUUUAAGCAUAUCAAUAAGCGGAGA
RNAcentral lists this unclassified non-coding RNA (399 nucleotides) under soil metagenome. Its description in RNAcentral is "partial contains 5.8S ribosomal RNA, internal transcribed spacer 2, and large subunit ribosomal RNA". The stretch from base 1 to 122 matches the Rfam family "5.8S ribosomal RNA", at positions 35 to 154 of the family's 154-position model. The record is from RNAcentral.